UACGUAGGGGGCAAGCGUUGUCCGGAUUUAUUGGGCGUAAAGAGCGUGUAGGCGGCCAGAUAGGUCAGCUGUGAAAACUCGAGGCUCAACCUCGAGACGUCGGCUGAAACCAUCUGGCUAGAGUCCGGAAGAGGAGUGUGGAAUUCCCGGUGUAGCGGUGAAAUGCGCAGAUAUCGGGAAGAACACCCGUGGCGAAGGCGGCACUCUGGGACGGUACUGACGCUGAGACGCGAAAGCGUGGGGAGCGAACAGG
RNAcentral lists this ribosomal RNA (253 nucleotides) under uncultured bacterium. RNAcentral's name for it is "partial 16S ribosomal RNA". It matches the Rfam family "Bacterial small subunit ribosomal RNA", at positions 524 to 776 of the family's 1533-position model. The record is from RNAcentral.